UACGGAGGGUGCAAGCGUUAUCCGGAUUCACUGGGUUUAAAGGGAGCGUAGGUGGGCUGGUAAGUCAGUGGUGAAAUCUCCGAGCUUAACUUGGAAACUGCCGUUGAUACUAUCUGCCUUGAAUAUUGUGGAGGUGAGCGGAAUAUGUCAUGUAGCGGUGAAAUGCUUAGAUAUGACAUAGAACACCAAUUGCGAAGGCAGCUCGCUACACAUAUAUUGACUCUGAGGCACGAAAGCGUGGGGAUCAAACAGG
RNAcentral lists this ribosomal RNA (253 nucleotides) under uncultured bacterium. RNAcentral describes it as "partial 16S ribosomal RNA". It matches the Rfam family "Bacterial small subunit ribosomal RNA", at positions 524 to 776 of the family's 1533-position model. The record is from RNAcentral.